RNAcentral lists this ribosomal RNA (301 nucleotides) under uncultured bacterium. Its description in RNAcentral is "partial 16S ribosomal RNA". It matches the Rfam family "Bacterial small subunit ribosomal RNA", at positions 509 to 809 of the family's 1533-position model. The record is from RNAcentral.
CAGUAGCCACGGGAAUACGAAGGGUGCAAGCGUUACUCGGAAUUACUGGGCGUAAAGCGUGCGUAGGUGGUGGUUUAAGUCCGUUGUGAAAGCCCUGGGCUCAACCUGGGAAUUGCAGUGGAUACUGGGUCACUAGAGUGUGGUAGAGGAUAGUGGAAUUUCCGGUGUAGCAGUGAAAUGCGUAGAGAUCGGGAGGAACAUCAGUGGCGAAGGCGGCCAUCUGGGACAACACUGACACUGAGGCACGAAAGCGUGGGGAGCAAACAGGAUUAGAUACCCGUGUAGUCCCUGUCUCUUAUAA